Molecule: long non-coding RNA, 250 nt
Filed under: Brassica napus (rape)
Lineage: Eukaryota; Viridiplantae; Streptophyta; Magnoliopsida; Brassicales; Brassicaceae
Description: long non-coding RNA (BNAP_LNC006953)
Source: RNAcentral
GCGUCCGGAGGGCUCUGCUUCUAGGUUAGGCUUUCUCGCUUUGCUGCUGCUUCACCUGUCUGUCUCCCCUUCGAUAUGUGUGGCGUCGUGGGCUGCGGUUUGGCACCGGGGAGUGCUCCGCUGCAGAGGUGCUUCGUCUCAGGUGGUCUCUCUGUUUCUCUGGGACUUCGGCGAGGAGGGCGAGCGGGUGGUGUUAGUUGCAGUCGGCUUUUUUGGGUUGUGCUUCGAGAUCGAUUUUCAAAUCUUAGAU